UCCUACGGGAGGCAGCAGUAGGGAAUAUUGGACAAUGGGCGAAAGCCUGAUCCAGCAAUGCCGCGUGAGUGAUGAAGGCCUUAGGGUUGUAAAGCUCUUUUACCCGGGAUGAUAAUGACAGUACCGGGAGAAUAAGCUCCGGCUAACUCCGUGCCAGCAGCCGCGGUA
This 168-nucleotide ribosomal RNA is filed under the name uncultured Sphingomonas sp. RNAcentral describes it as "partial 16S ribosomal RNA". It matches the Rfam family "Bacterial small subunit ribosomal RNA", at positions 337 to 522 of the family's 1533-position model. Lineage: Bacteria; Pseudomonadati; Pseudomonadota; Alphaproteobacteria; Sphingomonadales; Sphingomonadaceae. The record is from RNAcentral.